UACGAAGGGGGCUAGCGUUGCUCGGAAUCACUGGGCGUAAAGGGCGCGUAGGCGGCCGAUCAAGUCGGAGGUGAAAGCCCAGGGCUCAACCCUGGAAUGGCCUUCGAUACUGGUUGGCUCGAGACCGGAAGAGGUAAGUGGAACUGCGAGUGUAGAGGUGAAAUUCGUAGAUAUUCGCAAGAACACCAGUGGCGAAGGCGGCUUGCCAGAAUGCGCUCGACGGUGAGGGAUGAAAGCUGGGGGAGCAAACCGG
Molecule: ribosomal RNA, 253 nt
Filed under: uncultured bacterium
Lineage: Bacteria
Description: partial 16S ribosomal RNA
Rfam family: Bacterial small subunit ribosomal RNA
Source: RNAcentral